UUUUCACAGAAAAUAAAAAUUGUGAACAGAGAGUAGACGCGUCAAAAAUUUUUGGAACUAGUAAUUUACUAAGUGAUAUCCUAUUAAUCUAAAUACAAAUGAGUAAUGGUGGAAGUGCUGGGGGACUGGGUGGAACACGUCCUCCACCACGCAUCGAUGGCAUGGUAUCGCUGAAGGUCGACAAUCUCACAUAUCGCACCACUCCAGAGGACUUGCGUCGUGUCUUUGAGCGUUGCGGAGAAGUGGGUGAUAUUUACAUCCCGCGGGACCGCUACACACGUGAGAGCCGUGGCUUUGCUUUUGUGCGCUUCUAUGACAAACGUGAUGCUGAAGACGCACUUGAGGCCAUGGAUGGUCGCAUGUUAGAUGGCAGGGAGCUCCGUGUCCAGAUGGCUCGUUAUGGCCGUCCCUCGUCGCCCACACGCAGCAACGGGCGUCGUGGUGGAGGAUCUGGUGGUGGUGGUGGUGGCGGCGGAGGAGCUGGUGGUGGAGGUGCAGGCGGUCGUCGUCGCUCACGUUCCCGUUCACCGAUGCGCCGCCGUUCGCGUAGUCCUCGUCGUCGCUCCUACUCGCCGCGCUCGCGCUCUCAGUCGGCUGGCAGCCAUUCACCGGAGCGUCGCACCAAGUUCUCGCGCAGUCCAGUGCGUGGCGAGAGUCGCAACGGGAUCGGAGCAUCCGCCUUGGCUGUGGGAGCCUCACGUAGUCGCAGUCGCUCUUAAUAUUCACGUUCCAAUUGGAGCGAGCUUUGCAGUUUUUACUCGCCUGACAAGAGAGAUCCCGAUUCAUGGAUCUUGCUCCACAUCCUGUCAUGCUGUACCAGAACAGCAGGCAAAUUGGUGUGUGGCAGUGUUGCGGUUGAGAAUAAUGUUAUGGUUAUUGCGAGGGAGGAGAGGAGGAGGAGGAGAUCUAUCAGAUCAGAUCGGUGAUCGGAUUAUCGGAGUUCGGAUCCGAUCAGCACGAGGCAUCAGAGCAUCUUCUUCUUCCCCCCGUCCAGCGCUAGCAGAGAGACAACACGACACGACACGAGAGCGGACAUCGCGUAGCUGUUGUUGCUGUGUUGCCGUUGGCGUUUCCUGUCAGCCGCUGUCGCCGCCACCACCGCGCCGCUGCUACUGCUACCGCUGCUGCUGUUUGCCGUUUGCCGUUGCUGCUGCCGUGCUGCACACUCUCGAUCAGAGUGGGAGA
This is an RNA transcript of Drosophila subobscura, 1185 nucleotides long. It is a transcript of the gene named serine/arginine-rich splicing factor 2, with no coding region annotated. Lineage: Eukaryota; Metazoa; Arthropoda; Insecta; Diptera; Drosophilidae. The record is from RefSeq and is a predicted model, not a curated record. The transcript is spliced from 5 exons.